Molecule: ribosomal RNA, 497 nt
Filed under: uncultured bacterium
Lineage: Bacteria
Description: partial 16S ribosomal RNA
Rfam family: Bacterial small subunit ribosomal RNA
Source: RNAcentral
GAUGAACGCUGGCGGCGUGCCUAAUACAUACAAGUCGAGCGAACGGACGAGAAGCUUGCUUCUCUGAUGUUAGCGGCGGACGGGUGAGUAACACGUGGAUAACCUACCUAUAAGACUGGGAUAACUUCGGGAAACCGGAGCUAAUACCGGAUAAUAUUUUGAACCGCAUGGUUCAAAAGUGAAAGACGGUCUUGCUGUCACUUAUAGAUGGAUCCGCGCUGCAUUAGCUAGUUGGUAAGGUAACGGCUUACCAAGGCAACGAUGCAUAGCCGACCUGAGAGGGUGAUAGGCCACACUGGAACUGAGACACGGUCCAGACUCCUACGGGAGGCGGCAGUAGGGAAUCUUCCGCAAUGGGCGAAAGCAUGACGGAGCAACGCCGCGUGAGUGAUGAAGGUCUUCGGAUCGUAAAACUCUGUUAUGAGGGAAGAACAUAUGUGUAAGUAACUGUGCACAUCUUGACGGUACCUAAUCAGAAAGCCACGGCUAACUACGUG